Lacerta agilis (Sand lizard) is the source of this 597-nucleotide long non-coding RNA. RefSeq lists it as uncharacterized. NCBI's taxonomy places the organism in Eukaryota, Metazoa, Chordata, Lepidosauria, Squamata, Lacertidae. The record is from RefSeq and is a predicted model, not a curated record. The transcript has 2 exons.
CUCACCUAUUUUGUAUCCAUUAAAUCUGCAUCAAUAUAUGACAGACAAUUCAGGCAGAUAACACAUCAAAGCAUUACGACAUGUGUAAACCUCAUUCAUGAAAGUAGUUUUUUUUAUCUGCAGUGCACAAUGAAGUUUCAUCCAGGAAGUUCUAGUGCAUUGGAUUUAAGCAAAAGUUUAUUUUAUUUCAUUACAAAAAUAUUUUUUUUCCUUAAUGAUUUCAAAUGGUGGGUUUACCUCUCCUACCUAGGAGUGGUCAUACAAUACAUAAUUAAAGAAUUUAUUUUAUUUUAUUUUAUUAAUACUGAAUAGCAUAUUCCAGCAGCAUAUUAAAAGCUCUUUUAAGAAAAGACAAAAAAAACCCAAAGGCCUAAAAAGGAGAUCUACAGUUAUCAUUUUUAAAUAUUUUUUUUUAGUUAUAGAUACAGAAGAAAUUUAGACAGCAGUAAAAUAUUAUUAUUAUUAUUAUUAUUAUUUUGUCCUUCAGGUCUGCCCUGUGCAUUUUUCUGAUUUCAACCAUGUAUUAAAUAAACCACAAAAAACGCCACAGGGACAUGCUAGGCAAACGAUGAGCUAACGAGCAUGAAGAUGUCUAGG